CAUCUAGCAACUUAGUGACCAGAAAAAACGCACGGUGAUCCAACGAGACGAGGUAUCAAGUGGUACAGCAAAGUGUUAUGAUCGAGAUCUUAUGCAAUACAGCUCUGGUGAAUGCAUAAUUAUGAUAUGUAUAUUUCGACAGUUGGUUCAAGAAUAUCAACAAUUACGGAAUUCAGAGAGAAAAUUGCUGUAGCACUUCUCUUCUUUCAUUCACCGAAUUUUAUCUUUUCACCAGAGAACAGCCUUCUAAACGUAACUGCUCAAGCUGCUGUGUCAAGCACGAAAUCAUCUUUGACGAACAAUCCAGUCGAAUAUCGGUUUACAGCAACCAGUCUUGAUUUUGUUGCCCAAGACAUAAUAUAUGUUUUGGAGAAUGUAUUUGACGAGGCGUCGUGGUCAAAUGUGAAGAUAGAAAAAAAAGCAGACCAUACUGUGGAAUUCGCUAUUCCGUUUCCUGUGAAGUUGCAAACGGUUAUCAAAAAAGUGACGGAGGCCGGAUUCGAAAACUUAACAAUAAAUACAAUCAACGUAUCCGAGGUUUCUAGAAAAAGGUUUCUAGAGCUGAAAAGCCUCCAGCAAAAAAAA
Long non-coding RNA from Planococcus citri (citrus mealybug), 585 nucleotides. RefSeq lists it as uncharacterized. The record is from RefSeq and is a predicted model, not a curated record. The transcript is spliced from 3 exons. NCBI's taxonomy places the organism in Eukaryota, Metazoa, Arthropoda, Insecta, Hemiptera, Pseudococcidae.